GUUGUAGGUGUUGGGUUAAGGUCACUACAGUAUAAACUCAGUAUAGACCAGGUUAUGAGGUUGCUAGGUGUUGGGUUAAGGUCACUACAGUAUUAACUCAGUAUAGACCAGGUUAUGAGGUUGCUAGGUGUUGGGUUAAGGCCACUACAGUAUAAACUCAGUAUAGACCAGGUUAUGAGGUUGCUAGGUGUUGGGUUAAGGUCACUACAGUAUAAACUCAGUAUAGACCAGGUUAUGAGGUUGCUAGGUGUUGGGUUAAGGCCACUACAGUAUAAACUCAGUAUAGACCAGGUUAUGAGGUUGCUAGGUGUUGGGUUAAGGUCACUACAGUAUAAACUCAGUAUAGACCAGGUUAUGAGGUUGCUAGGUGUUGGGUUAAGGUCACUACAGUAUAAACUCAGUAUAGACCAGGUUAUGAAAUUGCUAGGUGUUGGGUUAAGGUCACUACAGUAUAAACUCAGUAUAGACCAGGUUAUGAGGUUGCUAGGUGUUGGGUUAAGGUCACUACAGUAUAAACUCAGUAUAGACCAGGUUAUGAGGUUGCUAGGUGUUGGGUUAAGGUCAGUAUCAACUAGGUUGUGGGGACUGUCUGGUAAUUAGUCAAAUCUUAUGUCAUUGGUGUAGAAAAAGUAAUAAUCAAUAUGCUGGAUGUAUUAUAAACAUUGUAUUGUGAAGACAUGUUUUAUUUAGUUAAUGUCAUUACACUAGACCAAAACCUGUCUAGCUGUCUGUUGAAUUACACUAGACCAAAACCUGUCUAGCUGUGUGUUGAAUUACACUGGACCUAAACCUGUCUAGCUGUGUGUUGAAUUACACUGGACCAAAACCUGUCUAGCUGUCUGUUGAAUUACACUGGACCUAAACCUGUCUAGCUGUCUGUUGAAUUACAC
RNAcentral lists this long non-coding RNA (890 nucleotides) under Salmo salar (Atlantic salmon). RNAcentral describes it as "lncRNA (ENSSSAG00000104351.1)". The record is from RNAcentral. Lineage: Eukaryota; Metazoa; Chordata; Actinopteri; Salmoniformes; Salmonidae.